Molecule: long non-coding RNA, 2227 nt
Organism: Triticum dicoccoides
Lineage: Eukaryota; Viridiplantae; Streptophyta; Magnoliopsida; Poales; Poaceae
Exons: 3
Source: RefSeq, a predicted model, not a curated record
CUUAUCUUCUUCCGCAAAUCACUCUCGUCCACUCACUUUUCUUCUUCCUCUGUUUGCCUGAGCUAUCUCCUACUCUUCUCUGUCUCUCUCGUCCAUUUUCUCCUCCCAUGAGCACCACAAAGUGAACCAUCGACCCAGCACCAUACCCUCAUUUUUCUCUCUCAGCUGCAUCUGCAACUGCUCAAGACGACGACUGCCGCAUCAGGGGGCGGGCCGUGGUGCUGGAACAGAGUCCGACGAUGCUGGAACCAGCAGCUGCCGGAGGUGGAGGCGGCGACAAGUGCUGGAGAUCCGGCGAGUUUUUUUGCUGGAACCACGAAGGCUUUUUGCUGGAACCAGCUCUAAUUUUUGCUACCAUUGUAUUUGAUUUUUUUUGUUGGAAUCAAGCCAGAUUUUGCUACUACGUUUGUUUUUUUGCUGGAACUAGUAGAGCAAUUUGUUACCACCAUGUUCGUUUUUUGCUAGAACUAACCAAAAUUUUGUUGCUUUGCUUGUUUGCUGGAACCUUGUGUACCACUUUUUGCUACAAUAGUUUUGUGUUUUGCUACUACCGACGCUCUCAUUUGCUACAUCCUUUUUCAUGAGGAUACCGAGGAUCAUGACUAUGUUUUUCUUGUUGUAACCAUUGUCGAUUUUUGCUACUACCGGCGAAGCCCCGAGCUGGACCAGAAGCUGUUUUUGAGCGUUUCUGCAAUUUUUGUUGCAACUUGCAACUGACACCCGCAAAAGCUUCCAUCGACAUGAUUUUUUGCUACAAUUUGAGCUGCAUCCGGCUGUUAGGUUUCCUCGACGGUGGCGAGUUUUUUGCUUACCGGCGAGCUGCGUCGGCAUUCGGCGAUGGCGAGCUGCGUCGGCGUGCACAGUUGCAAUCUCAUCUUGAUUGGGGCGACGAGACCUGCAAGCGGGAGACGGCUUGGGGCGACGAGCAAGCGACAAGGACGUUGGCGAGGGCCGCGACCGGCGACGAGGACGGCCGGCGAGGGCCGCGACAGGCGACGAGGAUGGCCGGCGAGGGAGACAUCCAUAGAGCGUGUGCCCCGGCGAGAUGAAGGGAUAGACGAGAUGCGAGAAUCCUUCGUAUGGGCGAGAAGAUGCAGUGCAUCGGACGGUUACAAUCCAGAUCCACGAUAUCGUACGCCUGCAGGCAGACCGGCCCAAAUUUGGGCCGGCGCGCCGGCGCCUAGUACGGCCCUAUCACAAAUGCUCAGCGGCCUUCCCAUCUGAUCUCAUACAACCCAGCAACCUCAUCAAGAGAUAAGAGAAGGAUGUUCCACCGAGCCUCCUCAGAGCUCAGGCACUCUCGGUCGUCGGAUCGUACUGCUUGAUGCAUUUUCGGCCGUCGGAUCGACCCGCUGGAUGACCUCGUCCGUCGGAUCAAAAAAAGUUACCGUCUCAUUCGUGCGACCGCGCGUAAAUAGCCUGCCCCGCCGGGGGCAUUUUCGUCAUUUCACUCGCAGGGGGUAUAAAAGGCCACGGCUCGCGUGGAGAUGACCUAGCCGGCUCGCUCCCGAGCGCAUCCUCUCCCUCUCUCGCUCGUUCCCCUCCCCUCCCGCGCACCUCCUCUCCUCUUCCUCUUUCCCUUAGCGCCGCCGCCCCUGCCUCCUUCCAUGCCGCCGCCCGGCCUCCUUCUCCUCUUCCUCUCGCCCCUAGCGCCACCGCCCCUGCCUCCUUCCCCACCACCGCCCGACCAACUCCCCUCACGUCCUCCUCCUUCCACCCCCUUCGAUUUGGCGCCGCCCAAACCAUGGAGAGCGGCCAAAGGAGCAACGACGGCCAGCCCCUGCCUCCUCUCCAGCACGUCCAGGGAUCCAUAGAUUGGUCCACAAUUACCUGAUUCUCGUCCUUCUGGUCAAACCCCUGGUAGGCGCCUCCUUCGAUCUGUGCGUGCACGUCAUCUAUUAGCAGCCUCACACAUCCUCUUCCACGGAUCUUCAGAUCAACCCCUCUUCUCCUCCUUUCCCCUCUUCUUUCCAUACCUAGGUGUAGGAUUGUAUGGCAAUAUGCAUUUUUGGCCUCGCCUCUGUUCUGAUUGUCGGUCAUGUAUUUUCUGGUAAAAGCCAAAAGUAUUUAUGUCUUUGUGCAUUGGAUGUCGGUGGUUUCCUGUCUUCACUGCUUGUUUUUAGUGGAGUCUAAUUAUAUGUCUUUUGUUCCUUGUCUGCAUCCUGGUAGGGCCUAUGAUUGUUGGUCCUUUCACCUUUGUGCAUGGAAUGUUGGUGGUUUUGUUUAU